UAGCCACACCUCCGCGCGCGUCCCCGCGCGCCGUGGAAGCUUUCGAGCUGCAGCGACGCACAAUUUAGUUUCUCUUCCCGGACCUCAACGUGAAUUUUUUUCGCUUUAUUUUUCCUCACAUGAUUUUAAGCUGAAGACCAAGGGGGCGUUUUUUUUUUUUUUUUUUCGUCCUGUGCCUGCGGGACAAGCUCGGUGACACCGCGGAGACGAGCGGCGACAGGAGCGAGGCUUCCGCUCAUUAUAACCCGGGCACACUUUGGAUUACUUCAACGCACAGUUGUGCCUGGAAUACAACAGCAUUAUUACUACAACAGCAGCGUGCACUCCGGUUCUUUGCACGUCGCUUUUCUUAAGUAGAUGAUACAACCAUGAACGGGUGCAUGCAUUAAACGUGCGCUUUGUGCACAUUUUAUCUGCGUGAAAAACGCAAUCACCUGAAGCCGAAUUGCGCUUUAAAGAAUAUUGCGUGUUUUUCUUUUUUUAUAAACCCCAAAAGUUAACAGACGUUUUCCUGGACCGAGGUCUGCACCUUUUUUUGAAUUCGGAGAAAGCAGCUGAGCCCGGGCAGGAUGAGGAUACAUCACAGCUGAAACCACGAGACCGGGACUUGGGUGCUGAAAUCUGACCGGACGAAACCCCACCUCCGUCCUGGACCAGGACCGGAGCCGAAUCCCGAUGAGUCCUGACGGCGCGAUGUGGACCCUGCUACCGAUGCUGUGCCUGCUCUCCGGGGCCACCUGGGCAGCGACUCUGAGCGGGCUGCAAGGAUCUUGCAGCAGUGGGAGAGGAAGGAAGGAAACACACACACACACACCCUGCUCCUUUUUUCUCUCUCUCCUCUCGUGAGUAGAAUACUACAGCCUUCCUUUGGCCCUUUCCUUCUAGACACACACCCAAACAAACACAGGCUUGUUUUUCGCCCAUUGAUCUCCACACCUCAGCUGUCUCUCAGACAAACAAAUACAAAGAUAAGUGACCUGCGUUGCUUUCGUCUGUGUUUUUAUCACAAGAGGAUUCUAAAAAGCCGGACACCUCAUUUCAUAAUGAAACUCGUUACAGAAGUAGCAGAAGUCAGCAGAUUUGUGCCUGCUGGCAUUUUCUACUGCGUGACAGUUGGGAGCUGGAAGAAGCCACAGUGGGCAGACUGCUGAGUUCGAGUGCAGAGGAAAUGUCUUGGAAAUCCCAGAUUUACUGGAGUGAUACUUCCCUGUGACCAGUGCACAUGAAAUGCGUCCUCUACCCUUCGUAUCCUCACAACAGAGUGAACCUACUGGACACGCAGAGGACGAUUACACACGCUCAGCUGCCCUGUAUAAUUUAACCCGUCAUCACAACUUCACCAUCAGGUCAAACCAGCUUGCAGCUGUGAGCAGAAAAGGCUGCGGCUCAACCAGUUUCCACAGAGCAAACAAAAUGUGCAGAUGGUAUUCAUUGAAUUUAGGAUUCAACGAAGCCGGUAAAGUGAGAGUAUCUCACAAA
Gasterosteus aculeatus aculeatus (three-spined stickleback) is the source of this 1479-nucleotide non-coding RNA. The record is from RefSeq and is a predicted model, not a curated record. NCBI's taxonomy places the organism in Eukaryota, Metazoa, Chordata, Actinopteri, Perciformes, Gasterosteidae.